GUGAGUGGUGCGUCGGCGGAGCUAUGAAUGGGCAGAGAGGGGUGUACUCUCACAGACACCAUAGCAGCAGUGAGAUGAGGAGUGCCAUUUACCCCACUGCACGCCUACUGUACUGAGAGGAGAAAAGAGAGGGAAGGAGUUGCACAGCCAACAUUUGCAAGAAAAAUAGAGUGAUCCAUCCUAAGUCCCCACAGCCCCGAACUUCUGAGGAAAAACUUUCAAGUCAGCCAUGGAGCAGAAGACAAAUGAGUGUCCCACCAACACCUCUCCUCAGAAACACAUGAAAAACAGGUCUAAGUCCACAGAGGAGGUACAGCAGUCAAAGAAGGCCUUUUCCUCACAAAAAUCACUCCCAGGCAGACCAGAGCUGGAGAGAGUGAAGGAAUGUCCUGAUGGCUCUGAGACACCGUCAUCCUCCAGCGAAGAACUGAAAUGAUGAACAAAGCCUAGAAACGAUGCCAUAAAGCUACAUCAUCAUAAACCUGAGACAUAAAAUGUGCAGAUGUACACAGAGGAACAUGCAGAAUAGUAUAUGAAAAAAAUGCAAGCCAUGAAUUGAUUAAAAGGAGAGAAUUGGACUAAAACACACACACACACACACACACACACACACACACACACACACACACACACACACACACACACACACACACACACACACACACCUAUUCACCCUACCACUGAAACAACAUGUAUGUGAACAGAAGGACACCUGUGAUGAUAUUGUUUCAUUGUACUGUGAGUGGUGUAUACAUGCCACCUGAAUGUGUAGUAACAAUAAAGUGAUGUUGCUGA
This is a long non-coding RNA of Pelmatolapia mariae (spotted tilapia), 795 nucleotides long. RefSeq lists it as uncharacterized. The record is from RefSeq and is a predicted model, not a curated record. The transcript is spliced from 5 exons. NCBI's taxonomy places the organism in Eukaryota, Metazoa, Chordata, Actinopteri, Cichliformes, Cichlidae.